GUAACACGUAUCCAACCUGCCGUCUACUCUUGGACAGCCUUCUGAAAGGAAGAUUAAUACAAGAUGGCAUCAUGAGUCCGCAUGUUCACAUGAUUAAAGGUAUUCCGGUAGACGAUGGGGAUGCGUUCCAUUAGAUAGUAGGCGGGGUAACGGCCCACCUAGUCUUCGAUGGGUAGGGGUUCUGAGAGGAAGGUCCCCCACAUUGGAACUGAGACACGGUCCAAACUCCUACGGGAGGCAGCAUG
Molecule: ribosomal RNA, 245 nt
Filed under: uncultured bacterium
Lineage: Bacteria
Description: partial 16S ribosomal RNA
Rfam family: Bacterial small subunit ribosomal RNA
Source: RNAcentral